Molecule: ribosomal RNA, 408 nt
Filed under: uncultured bacterium
Lineage: Bacteria
Description: partial 16S ribosomal RNA
Rfam family: Bacterial small subunit ribosomal RNA
Source: RNAcentral
GACGAACGCUGGCUGCGUGCCUAAAACAUGCAAGUCGAGCGAAGCGGCGGAUGGGUGAGUAACGCGUGGGUAACCUGCCCUUAAGUCUGGGAUACCAUUUGGGAACAGAUGCUAAUACCGGAUACUAAAGGAUGGACCUGCGAUGCAUAAGCUAGUUGGUAAGGUAACGGCUUACCAAGGCGAUGUUGCAUAGGCGAGUUGAGAGACUGUUCGCCCAAAUUGGGAUUGAGACACGGCCCAAACUCCUACGGGAGGCAGCAGUAGGGAAUCUGCCACAAUGGACGAAAGUCGGAUGGAGCAACGCCGCGUGAGUGAAGAAGGUUUUCGGAUCGUAAAGCUCUGUUGUUGGUGAAGCGGUAAUCAACCAGAAAGUCACGGCUAACUACGUGCCAGCAGCCGCGGUAAUUC